UUCUUGAGCCUGGGAGAUGUGAGGCAGAGAUGUUGUGAUGGCAGCAACUGAAGUGUCAGCAUGGGGAUAGUGUCCUGUUGGCGCAAAAGCAAAUCUGAUUUGGAAAGGUUCAUGCUGGAGAAGUUAGAAAAUGGAAGAGGAAAGAUGUGGUUCAACCAAACAUCACAAAUGUGAAUGAUAUGGGGUAUUUUGGCAACCAAGGGCAAAUUUACACUUUGAAAGAGCUUACGAAAGGAGAUGAUGUCUUGGAAGGCAACGGCUCUGGGAAAGCUUGGGAUUAACAGCAGAUAACAAAUUGUGUGUAUACAAGUUACUGUAAAGAGCAGGAAAUCAGUCAACAACCCGCUACGCCUGUGGUGGCUGGACAACUGAUGGGGACAAAGAAUGUGGCAAAGGAUGCCUGAGGUGAACUGGAGGGUGAGCUUUUGAACCAGGAGGACAGUUAAGUCCCAGGACAGACUGUGGGUGGGGUGGGGUGGGGAAUCUCCAUCCUGAAGGAUUGUGAUAUCUUGCAGGGAAAAAUGGGCAAGCAAGCGGUCAGCUGAGUAUUCCCGGAUCCUCUGGGCUUGGAGCCGGCUGGCUUUGCCUUCUGAGAACUUCCUGGCUUGGAUGUCUUUUCUUGUCCCUGUGGAAACAAAGAGUGUUUGUGGGUGUCAUUCCCUGAAAACCAGUUUAGCCAACUGAAGUGUUACAGUAAAAUUCGUCAAAGAUGUUGGGAAUACUAUAGGAUUGAUGCUCUCAUUGGAAAACUG
Long non-coding RNA from Neopsephotus bourkii (Bourke's parrot), 752 nucleotides. RefSeq lists it as uncharacterized. The transcript has 3 exons. Lineage: Eukaryota; Metazoa; Chordata; Aves; Psittaciformes; Psittacidae. The record is from RefSeq and is a predicted model, not a curated record.